CUUUUAUUAAAGUAGAGGUUUAUUUUACCUUGUAAUCUUUGAUUGAAUUAGGCGUUGCUACAUUCAUAAUUUCGAGUAGCACAUUUUAUUGCUUCUUGCUCAUAUAUUUGGUUGUUCUUAUUCUGAACAGAGGAUGAUACCAUCAUUCUCACCAAGGUUAAAGUACCUCUGCUGGUGUUUUUCCAUCAGCAUGUUUAUGAGCAUGAAUGCAUUUUUCAUGGAAGUGUAUGAAUAGAAUCUGCCAGACUCCCUCGGUAUGCCCUUUCUACUUGAUUCAUCGAACACUUAACUCUGUUGGUAAGCUUAUUUAUUGUCUAAUUGUGUUUAUAUCAUAGAAAUUCUGAGAUAUGAAGCUCAGGAGGCAGAUGGCCAGCCAUAGUAUUGGUUAACAUGAUAGACUAACAGUCAAGUGUAUUCAUUAAAUUCAUAGGAUAUAACAGAUUUCGAUCAUAUGUAUGUAAAUUGUUGUGUGAUUA
Lycium ferocissimum is the source of this 476-nucleotide long non-coding RNA. RefSeq lists it as uncharacterized. The record is from RefSeq and is a predicted model, not a curated record. Lineage: Eukaryota; Viridiplantae; Streptophyta; Magnoliopsida; Solanales; Solanaceae. The transcript is spliced from 2 exons.